RNAcentral lists this ribosomal RNA (254 nucleotides) under uncultured bacterium. RNAcentral's name for it is "partial 16S ribosomal RNA". It matches the Rfam family "Bacterial small subunit ribosomal RNA", at positions 524 to 776 of the family's 1533-position model. The record is from RNAcentral.
UACGUAGGGGGCGAGCGUUGUCCGGAAUUAUUGGGCGUAAAGAGCUUGUAGGCGGCUUGGUAAGUCGGAUGUGAAAACUCCAGGCUCAACCUGGAGCCGCCAUUCGAUACUGCUAUGGCUAGAGUCCGGUAGGGGAGUGUGGAAUUCCCGGUGUAGCGGUGAAAUGCGCAGAUAUCGGGAGGAACACCGAUGGCGAAGGCAGCCCUCUGGGCCGGCACUGACGCUGAGGAGCGAAAGCGUGGGGAGCGAACAGG